This 774-nucleotide ribosomal RNA is filed under the name uncultured bacterium. RNAcentral describes it as "bacterial SSU rRNA". It matches the Rfam family "Bacterial small subunit ribosomal RNA", at positions 61 to 842 of the family's 1533-position model. The record is from RNAcentral.
GUCGACGGACUUAACUCAUUCUUUUAGAUUGAGAGCGGUUAGUGGCCGACUGGUGAGUAACGCGUGAGCAACCUGGCUAUUAGAGGGGAAUAACAGUGAGAAAUCACUGCUAAUACCGCAUAAGCUCACAGUAGCACAUGCUACAGUGAGAAAAGGAGCAAUCCGCUAAUUGAUGGGCUCGCGUCUGAUUAGCUAGUUGGUGGGGUAAAGGCCUACCAAGGCGAUGAUCAGUAGCCGAACUGAGAGGUUGAACGGCCACAUUGGGACUGAGAUACGGCCCAGACUCCUACGGGAGGCAGCAGUCGGGAAUAUUGCGCAAUGGAGGAAACUCUGACGCAGUGACGCCGCGUAUGGGAAGAAGGUUUUCGGAUUGUAAACCAUUGUCGUUAGGGAAGAAGAAGUGACAGUACCUAAGGAGGAAGCUCCGGCUAACUAUGUGCCAGCAGCCGCGGUAAUACAUAGGGAGCGAGCGUUAUCCGGAUUUAUUGGGUGUAAAGGGUGCGUAGACGGGAAUACAAGUUGGUUGUGAAAUCCCUCGGCUCAACCGAGGAACUGCAACCGAAACUAUAUUUCUUGAGUAUCGGAGAGGAAAGUGGAAUUCCUAGUGUAGCGGUGAAAUGCGUAGAUAUUAGGAGGAACACCAGUGGCGAAGGCGACUUUCUGGACGAAAACUGACGUUGAGGCACGAAAGUGUGGGUAGCAAACAGGAUUAGAUACCCUGGUAGUCCACACCUGUAACGAUGGAUACUAGGUGUAGGGAUUAAUAAAGUCUCU